This 1360-nucleotide long non-coding RNA is filed under the name Cottoperca gobio. RNAcentral's name for it is "lncRNA (ENSCGOG00000012148.1)". Lineage: Eukaryota; Metazoa; Chordata; Actinopteri; Perciformes; Bovichtidae. The record is from RNAcentral.
GAAUCUGAAAAACAUAAAAAUCCCUUCAGCUUUAUAUUUAACAUGAUCAAUAGUUACAUGUAACAUUAGAUGGGUGUGUUUGUUUUGUCCACAGGCGUCUCUGGUCCCCUCCCUCUCCUGUGCAGACUCUAUGCUCUCUGCAGGGCACCGGCUCUCCUCAGGUGAGCUGGUCACCUGCGUCCUGCUUUCUGUCUCCACACCUGUCCACACUGAGCGUGCUCCUUAAACUGCCGUCACUGUGGGCUUUAGUGUGUGUGUGUUUCUGUGUGUGUCUGUGUGUGUGUGCGGCUGUGUUGGCGUGUUGGCAGUUGCUGUGAUGGUGGCGACGCCGGAUAGGGACGAGCUAGAGAACCACCGCCGCACUUCGAUGAAGGUGGAGACGGAGCUGCAGGAGGAAGAGGAAGAGGAGAAGGCGGAACUGCAGGAGGAGGAAGAAGAGGAGGAGAAGGCAGAGCUGCAGGAGGAGGAAGAGGAGGAGGAGGAGAAGAUGGAGCUGCAGGAGGAGGAAGAGAAGGCCGAGCUUCAGGAGGAGGAAGAGGAGAAGGCUGAGCUGCAGGAGGAGGAGCAGGAGGUUUCUGAGGAGACGCUGCACCGCUUCAACCUGAGCAUGGACGAGAAGGUGCACAGGUCCAGGUCUGUAUGAAGGAUCAUUAAUGCCGGGAAAAAUAAAAACAUCCUUCUCUGAAAUUGUGUGAACUUUGUUUGUGUUUUCAGUGAGGAGGAAGAGGAGGAGGAGGAAGAGGAGGAGGAAGAGAAGGAAGAGGAGGAAGAAGAGGAAGAAGAGGAAGAAGAGGAAGAAGAAGGCAGCAGCGGUCCACAUCGCGUGACUUCAGAGGAGGCCAAAGCUUCAUGGAGAGAAACUCUCCAGCGACACCUCCACCUGAGAGACGAGCGAGAGGAAGAGGAGGUGGGAAACAGUGAAGUGUCCAGUGACGCAGCAGGAAGUGACAUCACACAAUGUGACACACCUCCGUCUGAGACUCCACCCACCGACGACACGCCCUCCACCACCUCCUUCGUCUCCACGCCUGGCUCCGCCCCAGACGACGACGGGGCUCCACCUAGACCUGUCGUUGUCACGGAAACAGCUACCAGGUGCUCGUUUGAUGACAUCAGCCCCGAUCUGCCGCCGAAUAAGGGGCCAGAUAAAGAGGGGGUGGGGUUAUAUAUAAAGGUGGCAGAGUCUGAGGGGGCAAGGAGGUGGGGGGCAACGGUGCAAGGGGGCGGGGCCACCGCUCUGUGGAGGACCGUGUUCUCUGCAGACAGGAAGGAGAAGAAGAAGACGACGAGGGGCGGGAGUUUAGCUCCAGCCAGUCAGAGCAGAGCUGCAGGUGAUGAAGUCAGAAAGGAACGCUUGUGA